UGGGAGCACCCUUUGGGUGUGACUGCGUACCUUUUGUAUAAUGGGUCAGCGACUUAUAUUCUGUAGCAAGGUUAACCGAAUAGGGGAGCCGGAGGGAAACCGAGUCUUAACCGGGCGUUAAGUUGCAGGGUAUAGACCCGAAACCCGGUGAUCUAGCCAUGGGCAGGUUGAAGGUUGGGUAACACUAACUGGAGGACCGAACCGACUAAUGUUGAAAAAUUAGCGGAUGACCUGUGGCUGGGGGUGAAAGGCCAAUCAAACCGGGAGAUAGCUGGUUCUCCCCGAAAGCUAUUUAGGUAGCGCCUCGUGAAUUCAUCUCCGGGGGUAGAGCACUGUUUCGGCUAGGGGGCCAUCCCGGCUUACCAACCCGAUGCAAACUGCGAAUACCGGAGAAUGUUAUCACGGGAGACACACGGCGGGUGCUAACGUCCGUCGUGAAGAGGGAAACAACCCAGACCGCCAGCUAAGGUCCCAAAGUCAUGGUUAAGUGGGAAACGAUGUGGGAAGGCCCAGACAGCCAGGAUGUUGGCUUAGAAGCAGCCAUCAUUUAAAGAAAGCGUAAUAGCUCACUGGUCGAGUCGGCCUGCGCGGAAGAUGUAACGGGGCUAAACCAUGCACCGAAGCUGCGGCAGCGACACUGUGUGUUGUUGGGUAGGGGAGCGUUCUGUAAGCCUGUGAAGGUGUGUCGUGAGGCAUGCUGGAGGU
This 705-nucleotide ribosomal RNA is filed under the name Salmonella enterica. RNAcentral's name for it is "partial 23S ribosomal RNA". It matches the Rfam family "Bacterial large subunit ribosomal RNA", at positions 574 to 1280 of the family's 2925-position model. Lineage: Bacteria; Pseudomonadati; Pseudomonadota; Gammaproteobacteria; Enterobacterales; Enterobacteriaceae. The record is from RNAcentral.